CCUGACCUGAGCCAGGAGGCGGCCAGGAAACUGGAUUUUGGGACUGGGAUUUCAGAGAGGAAGCUGGAGAGCUGCAGGGUGGUCAUCUGUCACUUUAUUUUGCCCGUCUUGUAGCAUGUGGGUCUUUCGCAGCAGGAAGUGUGUUUUACAACCAGAGCCCCCGCCCUCCUGCAGCGCAGGCGCAGCUGGCUGGGCUCCUGCUUCCCACUCUCCACCUCAUCCAUAUUUGUCCUCGUCCCUGCCAGUCUCGAAAAGGCACUCUGUCACGUGUACACAGGAAAGGGCCCUGACAAGAGGAUGGGACUGCAGUUGUGGCUGCCAGGGCCCCGGCCAGGGUGAAAACAAGGAACAUUCCAGAGAAGAUCACAAGGAUGCGAAUAAAAUCGGAGCUGCACAGGGAUCUUUGGGCUGUAAUAGGAGGGGACACACAGGGGUUAGGGGAGGGUCUAGCCCUUGGCUCCCUCAGCCCAGCCCUCCUGUCACCUUGCCUCUCCCCUUUCCCCCACCUUAUUCUAUCCCACCCGCCACCGUUGGCCAACUCCUCUCCUAAACAGUGGACUCUGCUUUUUCCCCUCCUCUUAUCCCUAAUCCUAGGAGCUUUCUGUCUGGCUUCCCUCCUGGCCCCUCGUGUAUGCAUUCUCUCUAGCGGUGGGGAUUAAGGAGAAAACUCACGUGGCCAGUGGGUAGAGAGAGUCCGGGCAGGCAGCUGCCUGAAGUCAGCCAGAGUCUGCAUGUGCCCAGCUGUCCUGGCCUCCAGCAUCUCUGGAAAAACAGAGACAGAAUGAGUAGCAGCAGGGGACCCCAUAGGGCACAUCUGAAGGCCUGAGAGGUGCUGGAUGGGAUGGGAAGGCAGAAACAGGCUGACCUUAUCUAGGGGUAGGAGUGGGGAGUACUGGUUGGGGUAUCACCGCUACCCCACGUGAUGGCACAGAGAGUUGCCUGGAACUUACCACUGACAUAAGAGUCUUGCUUUGUCGCCCAGGUUGGAGUGCAGUGGCACGAUCUCGGCUCAGUGCAACCUCCGCCUCCUGAGUUCAAGUGAUUCUCCUGCCUCAGCCUCCCUAGUAGCUGGGAUUACAGGACAAGGAGAGGGACAAAUUCCUUCUUGGCAUCCUUAUGGCCCUGUGACCUGCUAAUGAAUGCUGACUCUGAGUUGCUACUAGAAUUUGGUUUCCUUGUGGCUUCCCAGGAAUUGGUCUCACUCUGCUCACUCUGUCUCCCAAGCUGGAGUGCAGUGGUACAGUCACGGCUCACUGCAGCCUCCACUUCCUGGACUCAAGUGAUCUUCUCACUUCAGCCUUCUGAGUAGCUGGGACUACAGCCCCCUCUGCAGCUCUUCAUGGGGGUCCACUCAAGUCAGAAGCCACAUUUGGGUGUGAUUCAGAGAGCUGUUUAUGCAAAACCAGCUUUGUCACCAUCAGGCAAGGCACCUGAAUUCCCACCGCAGAGAGUGUUGUGGCCGUGAGGACUUUUCUGUCACCAGCCAUUUCCAGGUAGACCCAGUGUAAUCACAAGCAUCCUUGUAAGUGGCAAAGAGGCAGAGGAGACAGCGCCAGAGAGGCAGCUGCAUGAGAAGGAUCAAGAUGUUGCUGACUUUGAAGUUGGAAGAAGAAGGCCAUGAGCCUCAGUAUGUGGGCGGCUUCUAGAAGCUGGAAGGGGCAAGGAGAUGGAUUUGACCCUUCAGCCUCCAGGGGCAGCUGUACCUGCCAUCACUGAUUGUAGCCUGGUGAGGCCUGUUUUAGACUUCUGACCUGUAGAGCUGUAACAUAAUACAUUUGGGUUGUUUUCAACCACUAAGUUUGUGGUAAUUUGUUGUAGCAGCUGUAGAAAAUGAAUACAUAUGAAUCCUCUGGCAUUUGUUUGAGAUUUGCUCUAUGGCCUAGUAUGUGGUUGUAAAUGUUCCAUCUGUGCCUGAAAAAAUGUAUAUUUCUAAUUCAGUAGUCUCUGCUUUUUUUUUUUAUUUUGUACCCCAUCAAUAAAAUGAUUUUCAGCAUGUAUCCCCAAAUAAACAAUAUUUUAUUUAUUGAUUGAUUGAUAAACAGACAUGUUUAAUGAUAGCUUGCUUUUCACAGAGGUGACUUCGGAGACUUCUAAUCUAUAAUCCAGGAGUAUAUAACCAUGCAGCACAGACCAAUUAGUCACAUGUAAAAUAAACUAGAUUCUUACCAC
Molecule: long non-coding RNA, 2169 nt
Filed under: Homo sapiens (human)
Lineage: Eukaryota; Metazoa; Chordata; Mammalia; Primates; Hominidae
Description: PREDICTED lncRNA (TCONS_00059640)
Source: RNAcentral